RNAcentral lists this ribosomal RNA (253 nucleotides) under uncultured bacterium. RNAcentral describes it as "partial 16S ribosomal RNA". It matches the Rfam family "Bacterial small subunit ribosomal RNA", at positions 524 to 775 of the family's 1533-position model. The record is from RNAcentral.
UACGAGGGGGGCGAGCGUUGUUCGGAAUUACUGGGCGUAAAGGGCGCGUAGGCGGAUAUUUAAGUUAGAGGUGAAAGCCCAGGGCUCAACCCUGGAAUAGCCUUUAAUACUGGAUAUCUUGAGUUCGGGAGAGGUGAGUGGAACUCCGAGUGUAGAGGUGAAAUUCGUAGAUAUUCGGAAGAACACCAGUGGCGAAGGCGACUCACUGGCCCGAUACUGACGCUGAGGCGCGAAAGCGUGGGGGAGCAAACAG